CUUACAUCUCAUCUUUCCCCUGGUUUCUGUCUCAGUAUCUUCCAGGAGGACAGCCUAACGUGACACUAAAAGCCAGGGCUGGGUGACACUAAAAGCCAGGGCUGCGGGAUAAGAUUCCUCUGCAGGCCGUACACUCCAUGACGGUCCAUGAUCACUUCAUGGCGGCAGGAGGGGCAUCGGAAACGGCUUCCAGACAUGGACACUGAGCCACCCCGGUUGGCCCAGUAGGGAUUUGCAGCCUGCUGGUGACAAGGGCAGAGUCUAGUUUCACUUUCUCAUAGGGUACCGCAUGCAGAGGCCUUGCACCUGGCACUUCAGACCAAAGCUCCUAGUGCAAAAUGGCUGCACUCAACACUUCAGCUCGAUGGGCUCGAAGCGCUGCACACGACACUGCAAUUCAAGAUGGUAGUGGUGGGCCAUGUGCUGCGCCCAGCACUGUGAUCUGGACCUGUGAGCAGCACAGCUGCACCUCUUCCACAAGAGCUCUGCCCCUACUCCCUGCGGACAAGAACCCUGUAAAGCAGCCCUGCUAAUGGCCUUUUGAGGAGAGCGUGUGCUCUAGAGCAUGAGCUCACAUCUCUCUAUUCCUCAAUUAAAGAAUAAAGCUUUCAUUUGCUUCUGAACCAAA
Long non-coding RNA from Lagenorhynchus albirostris (white-beaked dolphin), 628 nucleotides. RefSeq lists it as uncharacterized. The transcript is spliced from 3 exons. Lineage: Eukaryota; Metazoa; Chordata; Mammalia; Artiodactyla; Delphinidae. The record is from RefSeq and is a predicted model, not a curated record.